RNAcentral lists this ribosomal RNA (468 nucleotides) under uncultured bacterium. RNAcentral describes it as "partial 16S ribosomal RNA". It matches the Rfam family "Bacterial small subunit ribosomal RNA", at positions 28 to 507 of the family's 1533-position model. The record is from RNAcentral.
GACGAACGCUGGCGGCGUGCUUAACACAUGCAAGUCGAACGGAAAGGCCCUGCUUUUGUGGGGUGCUCGAGUGGCGAACGUGUGAGUAACCCGUGAGUAACCUGCCCUUGACUUUGGGAUAACUUCAGGUAACUGGGGCUAAUACCUGAUAGGAGCUCCUGCUGCUUGGUGGGGGUUGGAAAGUUUCGGCGGUUGGGGAUGGACUCGCGGCUUAUCAGCUUGUUGGUGGGGUAGUGGCUUACCAAGGCUUUGACGGGUAGCCGGCCUGAGGAGGUGGCCGGCCACAAUAGGACUGAGAGACGGCGCAGACUGCUACGGGAGGCAGCAGGGGGAAACAUGACACAAUGGGGGGAAGUGUGAGGCAGCAACGCCGCGUUCGGGAUGCCGUCCUUUGGGUUGUAAACAGCUUCUGCCUGUGACGAAGCGUUAGUGACGGUAAUGGAUAAAGAAGCACCGGCUAACUACGUG